AUACGGAGGAUGCGAGCGUUAUCCGGAUUUAUUGGGUUUAAAGGGAGCGUAGGUGGGAUAUUAAGUCAGCUGUGAAAGUUUGGGGCUCAACCUUAAAAUUGCAGUUGAUACUGGUUUCCUUGAGUACGGUACAGGUGGGCGGAAUUCGUGGUGUAGCGGUGAAAUGCUUAGAUAUCACGAGGAACUCCGAUCGCGAAGGCAGCUCACCGGGCCGGAACUGACACUGAUGCUCGAAAGUGCGGGUAUCAAACAGGAUUAGAUACCCUGGUAGUCCGCACAGUAAACGAUGAAUACUCGCUGUUUGCGAUACACGGUAAGCGGCCAAGCGAAAGCGUUAAGUAUUCCACCUGGGGAGUACGCCGGCAACGGUGAAACUCAAAUGAAUUGACGGGG
RNAcentral lists this ribosomal RNA (393 nucleotides) under uncultured bacterium. Its description in RNAcentral is "partial 16S ribosomal RNA". It matches the Rfam family "Bacterial small subunit ribosomal RNA", at positions 523 to 918 of the family's 1533-position model. The record is from RNAcentral.